GGAAGUUACUUUGAUAUGUCGACAAUGCUUCUCUGCACCAAUGUUGAUUAUCAACUUUGGGAUUCAAAAGAAAUAAGGCGUUUUAUCUAUGGUGUGUUGCUCCAAAGGAUAGACCGGUUGUAUUCAAUCGACUGUAGAGCAAUCUUGGCAAUCUAAUCUAGUACUUGGAGGCUUUAGCUAGUCUUCCCGAUUAUUAUUCCUCCAAACUCCUUGGCUCUAACUCCUUCUUACUUCUU
Arabidopsis thaliana (thale cress) is the source of this 236-nucleotide long non-coding RNA. RefSeq annotates it as other RNA. The record is from RefSeq. The transcript has a single exon. Lineage: Eukaryota; Viridiplantae; Streptophyta; Magnoliopsida; Brassicales; Brassicaceae.